RNAcentral lists this ribosomal RNA (495 nucleotides) under uncultured bacterium. RNAcentral's name for it is "bacterial SSU rRNA". It matches the Rfam family "Bacterial small subunit ribosomal RNA", at positions 30 to 504 of the family's 1533-position model. The record is from RNAcentral.
UGAACGCUGGCGGCAGGCCUAACACAUGCAAGUCGAGCGGAAACGACACUAACAAUCCUUCGGGUGCGUUAAUGGGCGUCGAGCGGCGGACGGGUGAGUAAUGCCUAGGAAAUUGCCUUGAUGUGGGGGAUAACCAUUGGAAACGAUGGCUAAUACCGCAUAAUGCCUACGGGCCAAAGAGGGGGAUCUUCGGACCUCUCGCGUCAAGAUAUGCCUAGGUGGGAUUAGCUAGUUGGUGAGGUAAUGGCUCACCAAGGCGACGAUCCCUAGCUGGUCUGAGAGGAUGAUCAGCCACACUGGAACUGAGACACGGUCCAGACUCCUACGGGAGGCAGCAGUGGGGAAUAUUGCACAAUGGGCGAAAGCCUGAUGCAGCCAUGCCGCGUGUAUGAAGAAGGCCUUCGGGUUGUAAAGUACUUUCAGUUGUGAGGAAGGGUGUGUAGUUAAUAGCUGCGCAUCUUGACGUUAGCAACAGAAGAAGCACCGGCUAACUCC